This is a long non-coding RNA of Oncorhynchus keta (chum salmon), 409 nucleotides long. RefSeq lists it as uncharacterized. The transcript has 3 exons. The record is from RefSeq and is a predicted model, not a curated record. Lineage: Eukaryota; Metazoa; Chordata; Actinopteri; Salmoniformes; Salmonidae.
UUGUCAUGUUGAUGAUACUGGCCUGUUGUAGAAGGUACAGCAGAGCUGAUGACCGGUGGUUGGGGGUGUGGUUGUCAUGUUGAUGAUACUGGCCUGUUGUAGAAGGUACAGCAGAGCUGAUGACCGGUGGUUGGGGGUGUGGUUGUCAUGUUGAUGAUACUGGCCUGUUGUAGAAGGUACAGCAGAGCGGUGGUUGGGGGUGUGGUUGUCAUGUUGAUGAUACUGGCCUGUUGUAGAAGGUACAGCAGAGCUGAUGACCGGUGGUUGGGGGUGUGGUUGUCAUGUUGAUGAUACUGGCCUGUUGUAGAAGGUACUUCAGAGCUGAUGACCGGUGGUUGGGGGUGUGGUUGUCAUGUUGAUGAUACUGGCCUGUUGUAGAAGGUACUUCAGAGCUGAUGACCGGUGGUUG